UCACAGAAGAGUGACAGGCUAUGUGAAUCCAGCCGUGGAUGUGUGUUCAUGUGCAUAAGAAAAGACAGGGCGACAACAAGAUGCCCCGUCUGACGAGCGGCGACGUCGGCGCCCCGUGGCAGAGGAGGGGAACGCGGGGGCGCAUCUCACCGACUCCCAGCGCGAGCCCCGCCGCCGGCUCUGCAGCCUGCGGCUGC
Molecule: long non-coding RNA, 197 nt
Filed under: Struthio camelus australis
Lineage: Eukaryota; Metazoa; Chordata; Aves; Struthioniformes; Struthionidae
Description: lncRNA (ENSSCUG00000018971.1)
Source: RNAcentral